RNAcentral lists this small nuclear RNA (22 nucleotides) under Arabidopsis thaliana (thale cress). RNAcentral describes it as "snRNA_04395". Lineage: Eukaryota; Viridiplantae; Streptophyta; Magnoliopsida; Brassicales; Brassicaceae. The record is from RNAcentral.
ACAUCACCCUGCGAGGUGCAAA